Molecule: RNA transcript, 1651 nt
Organism: Bombus terrestris (buff-tailed bumblebee)
Lineage: Eukaryota; Metazoa; Arthropoda; Insecta; Hymenoptera; Apidae
Exons: 7
Source: RefSeq, a predicted model, not a curated record
UGUUCCCGAGUCCUUAUCGACAUAAUAACGAGACUUUUGUAUUUCUUGCAGGUAGCAAGGUAGUUCCUUUCCAGCAAACAGACUGAAUAGGAUUAUCGGUUUUAAAGUAGCGUCAGAAAGUGCAGUUUCAACUACAUAUACGAAAUAUAGAUUUUUAAAAUUGUAUUUCCUACACAUAAUAAUAGCAAAAUCUAAGUUUUCUGUCUAUACGUGAUUCAAGAAGAGAAAGCAACUGCGGCGUGGAUUAGGAGGAUCAGCUGUUUUGUGACGCAGAGAAGAAAAAAUUGUCGUUCCAACAUUAAUUCGAGGCACGCAGAAGUGAAGCAACGAUAUGACCAAAAGAAAAAGAGCAUAAAUGCGUGUUUCAUAAACAGUAACGUCCGUCAGUAACAACUUUCAACGCGAUGCCGAUGCUAAUCUCCAUCAUUCAAUCAUGCAAGAUACGAAGAGCCCAGCGACCUAUUAUAACAAUAGAUCUAGAGAUUAGGGUCGUGAUACGUGCGUAAGGUUGAGCGAUUAUCGCCUGCGGGCCCCAUACCCGGGGAUUGGCCGCCCAGGGUUAGGUUUUUGCCUUGCUUGACCACUUAAAAUACCAGCCAAGUACUCACCCCUAACGAUUCAGGGGCGGAACAAUAGCUAGCUUCUGCGUUGCGCAUGUACAGAGAGGCGGAACCAUCCCUGAUGGCGACGAAUUGGGAAUCCUUCCUGUGAGAAGGUAUGCGGUAACGAAGCACGUGAUAAGGAACAUCAACAGACCUUACGGAAAGUUAUGACGAGAAAGAAGUUACGUCGCGAAGAAGUCGAAAUUCCUCUUAAACACUUAAUGGCGUCCCUAAACAUCUAGCUAAUAUUUCUCAAUAUUUCCAAAUUAUUAUUGAAUUUAUGGUUAGUGAAUACGGGAACAACUAAUUCUGUGAAACGUGGAAACAUCAAAAGAAAAGAAACUGAGUUUUAUUUUACAAUUAAUCGAAAUUAUACAGAUUGAAGAGAUCAAGAGGAGGUUGUAGAUUUAACAUUUGUGGAUAAUAAGUGAAGAACAUCUGAUGAACGCGAUAAAUUAGGAAUGAGCUCUCACGCGCAUGCAAGGACAAUUUGUAGCGGAAGCGCAGUAUCAGGCGCGGUUUCUGCGUUGCAUUUCUUGAGAAGCUAUAGCCUGUUCGCGCCAACUUCAGUUUUGUAAUUUGACAUUUUGUUUAGUUAAUGAGCAAGUGAACCAAUUCAUGGAUAGAUGAAUAUAUUGAUCAACAUGAUUGUUGAAUUAAGGCGAUUUCCACACGGUUUACAACUCCUCAAGUAGCCGUGAUCGUCUAGUGGUUAGGACCCUACGUUGUGGCCGUAGUAACCCAGGUUCGAAUCCUGGUCACGGCAAUGUGCUAUUGACACAUUGUCACGGUAGAGGAAUAAUUAGAGGGGUAAAUGAAAAAGGUAAAAUCAGUCUGGGCAGAAAUAUUUACAAAGGUUAAUUAUAAUAUAGUAUUCAUAGUGAAUCGACAAGGAUUUUGUGAAAAUAUAUAAUACGUUAAAAUCAAUCAUACAUAUCUGUGCAGAUAUGAACCAUACAAUUCCAAAGACUACAACUUUAGAAAUAUCGAGAUUUUAGAAAGUUCGAAUACACCGGAUACUGGAAUCGGCCGAACGCCUUCACCGUUGU